Molecule: ribosomal RNA, 467 nt
Filed under: uncultured bacterium
Lineage: Bacteria
Description: partial 16S ribosomal RNA
Rfam family: Bacterial small subunit ribosomal RNA
Source: RNAcentral
GACGAACGCUGGCGGCGUGCUUAACACAUGCAAGUCGAACGGAAAGGCCCUGCUUUUGUGGGGUGCUCGAGUGGCGAACGGGUGAGUAACACGUGAGUAACCUGCCCUUGACUUUGGGAUAACUUCAGGAAACUGGGGCUAAUACCGGAUAGGAGCUCCUGCUGCAUGGUGGGGGUUGGAAAGUUUCGGCGGUUGGGGAUGGACUCGCGGCUUAUCAGCUUGUUGGUGGGGUAGUGGCUUACCAAGGCUUUGACGGGUAGCCGGCCUGAGAGGGUGACCGGCAACAUGGGGACUGAGAUACGGCCCAGACGCCUACGGGAGGCAGCAGUGGGGAAUAUUGCACAAUGGGCGGAAGCCUGAUGCAGCAACGCCGCGUGCGGGAUGACGGCCUUCGGGUUGUAAACCGCUUUCGCCUGUGACGAAGCGUGAGUGACGGUAAUGGGUAAAGAAGCACCGGCUAACUACGU